AUUGCCUGGCUGCUAGAGGAAACCCGAAGUCGGGAUUCUUUCUUUCCUGCUCUGAGAGGGACCAGGUCCCUCCUCCGUAGCUUUUGUCUCUCUAUUGCCUGCGCCGUGUCCUGGACUGCUCACGGGAGUUCUGCAGGAGACGCCGGAAUAUCUGGAAGCUGAAAAAUGGAAAUAAAUGGAAAGACCAGAAUAUUGAAGAUCACUACAGAAAUCUAAGAGGCCAGGUUCCUGAAGGUUUCUUGCAUCACAUCUCUACAGAGAUUUUUCUGGGAAGGAUCCAGCAAAGCCCACUCCUCUUGGGUGAAGGUCACAGCCACAUCCUCAAAGGCCACUGAAUCCUGAAACAUCUCACAUGUAUAGAGGAGGAUGGAUAAGACUAACAUCACUGGGAAGCCUAUACUCUAUUCCCAAGAGGUUUCCAUGAUGCUGUGGACUCAAAACAAUUAUUCCAUGACCAUCAGACCUCAUACUCUCUGUCUACACUCAGUUUCUUCCAUAAAGUAAUUCUGAGGCUAC
Molecule: long non-coding RNA, 516 nt
Filed under: Homo sapiens (human)
Lineage: Eukaryota; Metazoa; Chordata; Mammalia; Primates; Hominidae
Description: ZNF433 and ZNF878 antisense RNA 1
Source: RNAcentral